Molecule: non-coding RNA, 267 nt
Organism: Rana temporaria (common frog)
Lineage: Eukaryota; Metazoa; Chordata; Amphibia; Anura; Ranidae
Product: small Cajal body-specific RNA 2
Exons: 1
Source: RefSeq, a predicted model, not a curated record
UCUCGCAGCCCCGGGCCCGGCCUCCUCUGGGGUGUCUCGGUGUGUGUGUGGACGGCUCUUCCAAUCCAAUUUUACACAUUGAUCUUAUUUGAUCCCCCCGUCAUGGCUGCCGGCGGCGGGGAAAUGAUAGGACUCCUCCAACGAGCCCCCACCGGGGACGGUGUGUGUGGAGAUGGCAAUACAGGCGGUCACGGUGGAAAUGAUGAUUUGAUCAGAUAUACUAGGCCGGGUUUCUGGCCUGUGAGUAUAUAUGCGAUUCUGAUCCCA